UUUUAAGGAACUUCUACUAAUACCGCCCACGCCCUGUGGACAACGCAGAAGCCACACCACAUCCUGGG
Molecule: small RNA, 68 nt
Filed under: Oceanobacillus oncorhynchi
Lineage: Bacteria; Bacillati; Bacillota; Bacilli; Caryophanales; Bacillaceae
Description: Bacillaceae-1 RNA
Rfam family: Bacillaceae-1 RNA
Source: Rfam by way of RNAcentral